CAAAGAACAAGAAGAAGAAGAG
This 22-nucleotide small RNA is filed under the name Arabidopsis thaliana (thale cress). RNAcentral's name for it is "ATSL121190". Lineage: Eukaryota; Viridiplantae; Streptophyta; Magnoliopsida; Brassicales; Brassicaceae. The record is from RNAcentral.